CCCUUAGAUGUUCUGGGCCGCACGCGCGCUACACUGAUGCAUUCAACGAGUUUCUUCCUGGUCCGAGAGGAAUGGGUAACCUUUUGAAAGUGCAUCGUGAUAGGGAUAGACUAUUGCAAUUAUUGGUCUUCAACAAGGAAUUCCUAGUAGACGUAGUUCAUCAGACUGCAUCGAUUACGUCCCUGCCCUUUGUACACACCGCCCGUCGCUCCUACCGAUUGAAUGCUCAGGUGAGCCAUUCGGACUUUCAUCAUGCUGGUUUCCAGUUUUGAUGAAGGAAAGUCUUGCGAACCUUAUCAUUUAGAGGAAGGAGAAGUCGUAACA
Molecule: ribosomal RNA, 324 nt
Filed under: uncultured eukaryote
Lineage: Eukaryota
Description: partial 18S ribosomal RNA
Rfam family: Eukaryotic small subunit ribosomal RNA
Source: RNAcentral